GACGAACGCUGGCGGCGUGCUUAACACAUGCCAGUCGAACGGACAGGCCCGGCUCUUGCGGGGCGCUCGAGUGGCGAACGGGUGAGUAACACGUGAGUAUCCUGCACUUGACUUUGGGAUAACUUCUGGAAACUGGGGCUAAUAUCGGAUAGGAUCUCCUGCUGCAUGGUGGGGGUUGGAAAGUUUCGGCGGUUGGGGAUGGACUCGCAGGUUAUCAGCUGGUUGGUGAGGUAGUGGCUUACCAAGGUUUUGACGGGUAGCAGGCCUGAGAGGGUGACCGGCGACAUUGGGACUGAGAUACGGCCCAGACUCCUACGGGAGGCAGCAGUGGGGAAUAUUGCGCAAUGGGGGGAAGCCUGAUGCAGCAGCGCCGCGUGCGGGAUGACGGCCUUCGGGUUGUAAACCGAUUUCGCCUGUGACGAAGCGUGAGUGACGGUAAUGGGUAAAAAAGCACCGGCUAACUACGUG
This 468-nucleotide ribosomal RNA is filed under the name uncultured bacterium. RNAcentral's name for it is "partial 16S ribosomal RNA". It matches the Rfam family "Bacterial small subunit ribosomal RNA", at positions 28 to 507 of the family's 1533-position model. The record is from RNAcentral.